GCUCAGGUGUCCGAGUGGUUAAGGAGAUGGACUUGAAAUCCAUUGCGAUCUUCGCGCACAGGUUCGAAUCCUGUCCUGAGCG
Molecule: transfer RNA, 82 nt
Filed under: Belgica antarctica
Lineage: Eukaryota; Metazoa; Arthropoda; Insecta; Diptera; Chironomidae
Description: tRNA-Ser for anticodon UGA
Rfam family: tRNA
About the family: Transfer RNA (tRNA) molecules are approximately 80 nucleotides in length. Their secondary structure includes four short double-helical elements and three loops (D, anti-codon, and T loops).
Source: RNAcentral